RNAcentral lists this ribosomal RNA (1539 nucleotides) under Klebsiella pneumoniae. Its description in RNAcentral is "bacterial SSU rRNA". It matches the Rfam family "Bacterial small subunit ribosomal RNA". The record is from RNAcentral. Lineage: Bacteria; Pseudomonadati; Pseudomonadota; Gammaproteobacteria; Enterobacterales; Enterobacteriaceae.
AAAUUGAAGAGUUUGAUCAUGGCUCAGAUUGAACGCUGGCGGCAGGCCUAACACAUGCAAGUCGAGCGGUAGCACAGAGAGCUUGCUCUCGGGUGACGAGCGGCGGACGGGUGAGUAAUGUCUGGGAAACUGCCUGAUGGAGGGGGAUAACUACUGGAAACGGUAGCUAAUACCGCAUAAUGUCGCAAGACCAAAGUGGGGGACCUUCGGGCCUCAUGCCAUCAGAUGUGCCCAGAUGGGAUUAGCUAGUAGGUGGGGUAAUGGCUCACCUAGGCGACGAUCCCUAGCUGGUCUGAGAGGAUGACCAGCCACACUGGAACUGAGACACGGUCCAGACUCCUACGGGAGGCAGCAGUGGGGAAUAUUGCACAAUGGGCGCAAGCCUGAUGCAGCCAUGCCGCGUGUGUGAAGAAGGCCUUCGGGUUGUAAAGCACUUUCAGCGGGGAGGAAGGCGUUAAGGUUAAUAACCUUGGCGAUUGACGUUACCCGCAGAAGAAGCACCGGCUAACUCCGUGCCAGCAGCCGCGGUAAUACGGAGGGUGCAAGCGUUAAUCGGAAUUACUGGGCGUAAAGCGCACGCAGGCGGUCUGUCAAGUCGGAUGUGAAAUCCCCGGGCUCAACCUGGGAACUGCAUUCGAAACUGGCAGGCUAGAGUCUUGUAGAGGGGGUAGAAUUCCAGGUGUAGCGGUGAAAUGCGUAGAGAUCUGGAGGAAUACCGGUGGCGAAGGCGGCCCCCUGGACAAAGACUGACGCUCAGGUGCGAAAGCGUGGGGAGCAAACAGGAUUAGAUACCCUGGUAGUCCACGCCGUAAACGAUGUCGAUUUGGAGGUUGUGCCCUUGAGGCGUGGCUUCCGGAGCUAACGCGUUAAAUCGACCGCCUGGGGAGUACGGCCGCAAGGUUAAAACUCAAAUGAAUUGACGGGGGCCCGCACAAGCGGUGGAGCAUGUGGUUUAAUUCGAUGCAACGCGAAGAACCUUACCUGGUCUUGACAUCCACAGAACUUAGCAGAGAUGCUUUGGUGCCUUCGGGAACUGUGAGACAGGUGCUGCAUGGCUGUCGUCAGCUCGUGUUGUGAAAUGUUGGGUUAAGUCCCGCAACGAGCGCAACCCUUAUCCUUUGUUGCCAGCGGUUAGGCCGGGAACUCAAAGGAGACUGCCAGUGAUAAACUGGAGGAAGGUGGGGAUGACGUCAAGUCAUCAUGGCCCUUACGACCAGGGCUACACACGUGCUACAAUGGCAUAUACAAAGAGAAGCGACCUCGCGAGAGCAAGCGGACCUCAUAAAGUAUGUCGUAGUCCGGAUUGGAGUCUGCAACUCGACUCCAUGAAGUCGGAAUCGCUAGUAAUCGUAGAUCAGAAUGCUACGGUGAAUACGUUCCCGGGCCUUGUACACACCGCCCGUCACACCAUGGGAGUGGGUUGCAAAAGAAGUAGGUAGCUUAACCUUCGGGAGGGCGCUUACCACUUUGUGAUUCAUGACUGGGGUGAAGUCGUAACAAGGUAACCGUAGGGGAACCUGCGGUUGGAUCACCUCCUUA